CGGCGGACGGGUGAGUAACACGUGGAUAACCUACCUAUAAGACUGGGAUAACUUCGGGAAACCGGAGCUAAUACCGGAUAAUAUUUUGAACCGCAUGGUUCAAUAGUGAAAGACGGUUUUGCUGUCACUUAUAGAUGGAUCCGCGCCGCAUUAGCUAGUUGGUAAGGUAACGGCUUACCAAGGCAACGAUGCGUAGCCGACCUGAGAGGGUGAUCGGCCACACUGGAACUGAGACACGGUCCAG
This 244-nucleotide ribosomal RNA is filed under the name uncultured Staphylococcus sp. Its description in RNAcentral is "partial 16S ribosomal RNA". It matches the Rfam family "Bacterial small subunit ribosomal RNA", at positions 96 to 334 of the family's 1533-position model. Lineage: Bacteria; Bacillati; Bacillota; Bacilli; Caryophanales; Staphylococcaceae. The record is from RNAcentral.